AGACGAACCGUCCUAACGUUAUUCGGAAUUACUGGGCUUAAAGGGUGCGCAGGCGGUCCGGUAAGUUGGGUGUGAAAUCCCUCGGCUCAACCGAGGAAUUGCGCUCAAUACUGCCGGGCUUGAGGGAGACAGAGGCGAGCGGAACUUGCGGUGGAGCGGUGAAAUGCGUUGAUAUCGCAAGGAACACCAGUGGCGAAAGCGGCUCGCUGGGUCUCUUCUGACGCUCAUGCACGAAAGCUAGGGGAGCGAACGGGAUUAGAUACCCCGGUAGUCCUAGCUGUAAACGUUGAGCACUGGGUCGGAGGGUCCUCCAUAGCCUUCCGGUCGAAGCGAAAGUGUUAAGUGCUCCGCCUGGGGAGUAUGGUCGCAAGGCUGAA
RNAcentral lists this ribosomal RNA (377 nucleotides) under uncultured bacterium. Its description in RNAcentral is "bacterial SSU rRNA". It matches the Rfam family "Bacterial small subunit ribosomal RNA", at positions 523 to 898 of the family's 1533-position model. The record is from RNAcentral.